GUGCAUGUCUCUGAGGAUUACCCAGAUAACACAUAUGUUUCCAGUUCAGAUAACGAUGAAGAUGUGUUAGUUACAACAGAGCCAAUCCCAGUAAUUUUCCACCAAAUUGCUACAGAAUUAAGGAAAACCAGCGAUGUCAACUACUGCUUAUCCAUAAAAUCAAAAUUGCAAAGAGAAAAAGGAGAGGAGUCCAGGCAUAACAGCACAGUUGAAGAGGAUUCUGAAGGAGAUAAUGAUUCUGAAGAAUUUUAUUAUGGAGGACAGGUUAGCUAUGAUGGAGAACUUCACAAGCACCCACAACUGGAAGCUGAUUUAACAGCAGUGAGAGAGAUCUAUGGACCUAAUGCAGUAUCU
Non-coding RNA from Tinamus guttatus (white-throated tinamou), 354 nucleotides. Lineage: Eukaryota; Metazoa; Chordata; Aves; Tinamiformes; Tinamidae. The record is from RefSeq and is a predicted model, not a curated record.